Molecule: long non-coding RNA, 1102 nt
Organism: Bicyclus anynana (squinting bush brown)
Lineage: Eukaryota; Metazoa; Arthropoda; Insecta; Lepidoptera; Nymphalidae
Exons: 2
Source: RefSeq, a predicted model, not a curated record
AUUUACACUGUAAACAAAUGCACAGUAAUCUGUGUCACCGGACCAAGUGUGACACCCUAUAAAACGACAAACCAAGACUUGAUACAUCAACAUCGGGAUUAGCAUCCAAAGUAUUCACAACCCUUUGAAAAUAAAAUAAAUUAACUGCGCAAUGGAUUUCAGUGCAAAGAUUUUCAGUAUACUUGCCCUUAUCUGUCUAUUUUUUGUCAUUCAAAAUCAUUCUCAACCACUAGAUGAAGCAAAAUCCGUUGCGAACGCUUCGGAUGGUGAAAUGAUGGAAGCGGCGGAAUCUCAGAAUCCGUUUCUGCCGCGUUUCGCUAUGAAAAAGUUGAAAGAACGGCGGGAACGAGCUAGAGCUCAGAGAAGGAAUUAUCAAGCUGAAAGGAGAUAUCAACCUUCUCGAAGUCAUGUUAGGUGUUAGCACUAUAAAAAAUGAAGAACCACGUAGUUUUAUUGUUAGUAGUAGCGCUAGUUUUUGAUUUAGUCGUUGCAAAUAUCGCCAUAGAACUACCGGUCGCCGAUAAGGAGUCGCUAUUGUCAGAAAAUAAUGACUCAAGCACGAAUCACGAAGAAACACUUUCAAACAAUAGCCAAACGGAACAAAAGGAAAUCGAAACAAAUGAAAACGGUGAGACAAUUACUCUCAGCCCAAACGAAGAAACGCUGCAAAUUGGUAUUGAAGAACACACUGAGACUCCAAUAGAUCAAUUUGAUUUUCAAGGAGCUAUUGACAAUGAUCAACAAGAAUUUUACAUUAAUGAAUUUAAUAUAAAAGAACCCGCUGACACUAGUCUUGAAGAGGAGUUUGAAUUAGUGAAGGAAAGUGAUUAUUAUUACAACGACCUCAUUCAUAAGGAUCCUAAUGAAAUCAUGCAAACGGCCGCUGGAUUUGUGCCUAUACCUAUAAUUCGUAAAAAGAAGAAGCAGACACGCAGACAGUAUGCUAAUAGAAGAUAUAACAGAAGACCUUACGCCAAUCGAAGGCAUUACUAUUACUAUUAUCCUUACUACAGAUAUUAUCGUCCAAGCUCUCUAAGAUAUUAUUACUAAUAUCAUAAUUUUAUAUAGUGUAUUAAAAAAAAUAAAACAGUUGUCAAAAAUA